CCUACGGGAGGCAGCAGUGAGGAAUAUUGGUCAAUGGGCGUAAGCCUGAACCAGCCAAGUCGCGUGAGGGAUGAAGGUUCUAUGGAUCGUAAACCUCUUUUAUAAGGGAAUAUAGUGUGGGACGUGUCCUGUUUUGUAUGUACCUUAUGAAUAAGGAUCGGCUAACUCCGUGCCAGCAGCCGCGGUAAUACGGAGGAUCCGAGCGUUAUCCGGAUUUAUUGGGUUUAAAGGGUGCGUAGGCGGCCUUUUAAGUCAGCGGUGAAAGUCUGUGGCUAAACCAUAGAAUUGCCGUUGAAACUGGGAGGCUUGAGUAUGUUUGAGGCGGGAGGAAUGCGUGGUGUAGCGGUGAAAUGCUUAGAUAUCACGCAGAACCCCGAUUGCGAAGGCAGCCUGCCAAGCCAUGACUGACGCUGAUGCACGAAAGCGUGGGGAUCAAACAGGAUUAGAUACCCUAGUAGUC
RNAcentral lists this ribosomal RNA (460 nucleotides) under uncultured bacterium. RNAcentral describes it as "partial 16S ribosomal RNA". It matches the Rfam family "Bacterial small subunit ribosomal RNA", at positions 338 to 795 of the family's 1533-position model. The record is from RNAcentral.